UAGAGUUUGAUCCUGGCUCAGAACGAACGCUGGCGGCAUGCCUAACACAUGCAAGUCGAACGAACCCUUCGGGGUUAGUGGCGCACGGGUGCGUAACGCGUGGGAACCUGCCUUUAGGUUCGGAAUAACAGUUAGAAAUGACUGCUAAUACCGGAUAAUGUCUUCGGACCAAAGAUUUAUUGCCUUUAGAUGGGCCCGCGUUGGAUUAGAUAGUUGGUGGGGUAAUGGCCUACCAAGUCGACGAUCCAUAGCUGGUCUGAGAGGAUGAUCAGCCACACUGGGACUGAGACACGGCCCAGACUCCUACGGGAGGCAGCAGUGGGGAAUAUUGGACAAUGGGCGAAAGCCUGAUCCAGCAAUGCCGCGUGAGUGAUGAAGGCCUUAGGGUUGUAAAGCUCUUUUACCCCAGGGAUGAUAAUGA
This 421-nucleotide ribosomal RNA is filed under the name Erythrobacter sp. EF3C-B835. Its description in RNAcentral is "bacterial SSU rRNA". It matches the Rfam family "Bacterial small subunit ribosomal RNA", at positions 1 to 454 of the family's 1533-position model. The record is from RNAcentral. Lineage: Bacteria; Pseudomonadati; Pseudomonadota; Alphaproteobacteria; Sphingomonadales; Erythrobacteraceae.